This 319-nucleotide ribosomal RNA is filed under the name uncultured bacterium. RNAcentral's name for it is "bacterial SSU rRNA". It matches the Rfam family "Bacterial small subunit ribosomal RNA", at positions 9 to 312 of the family's 1533-position model. The record is from RNAcentral.
GAGUUUGAUCGUGGCUCAGGAUGAACGCUGGCGGCGUGCUUAACACAUGCAAGUCGAACGAAGCGCCUUGGACAGAUUCUUCGGAUGAAGUUUUGGUGACUGAGUGGCGGACGGGUGAGUAACGCGUGGGUAACCUGCCUCAUACAGGGGGAUAACAGUUAGAAAUGGCUGCUAAUACCGCAUAAGCGCACGGUACUGCAUGGUACAGUGUAGAAAAAUCCGGUGGUAUGAGAUGGACCCCGGUCUGAUUAGCUAGUUGGUGGGUAAUGGCCCACCAAGGCGACGAUCAGUAGCCGGCCUGAGAGGGUGAACGGCCACA